RNAcentral lists this ribosomal RNA (940 nucleotides) under Enterococcus dispar. RNAcentral describes it as "bacterial SSU rRNA". It matches the Rfam family "Bacterial small subunit ribosomal RNA", at positions 25 to 936 of the family's 1533-position model. Lineage: Bacteria; Bacillati; Bacillota; Bacilli; Lactobacillales; Enterococcaceae. The record is from RNAcentral.
CAGGACGAACGCUGGCGGCGUGCCUAAUACAUGCAAGUCGAACGCUUCUUUUUCCACCGGAGCUUGCUCCACCGGAAAAAGAAGAGUGGCGAACGGGUGAGUAACACGUGGGUAACCUACCCUCAAGCGGGGGAUAACAUUUGGAAACAGGUGCUAAUACCGCAUAAUAUUAAUGAACUCAUGUUUAUUAAUUGAAAGGCGCUUUUGCGUCACUUGAGGAUGGACCCGCGGUGCAUUAGCUAGUUGGUGAGGUAACGGCUCACCAAGGCCACGAUGCAUAGCCGACCUGAGAGGGUGAUCGGCCACACUGGGACUGAGACACGGCCCAGACUCCUACGGGAGGCAGCAGUAGGGAAUCUUCGGCAAUGGACGAAAGUCUGACCGAGCAACGCCGCGUGAGUGAAGAAGGUUUUCGGAUCGUAAAACUCUGUUGUUAGAGAAGAACAAGGAUGAGAGUAAAAUGUUCAUCCCUUGACGGUAUCUAACCAGAAAGCCACGGCUAACUACGUGCCAGCAGCCGCGGUAAUACGUAGGUGGCAAGCGUUGUCCGGAUUUAUUGGGCGUAAAGCGAGCGCAGGCGGUUUCUUAAGUCUGAUGUGAAAGCCCCCGGCUCAACCGGGGAGGGUCAUUGGAAACUGGGAGACUUGAGUGCAGAAGAGGAGAGUGGAAUUCCAUGUGUAGCGGUGAAAUGCGUAGAUAUAUGGAGGAACACCAGUGGCGAAGGCGGCUCUCUGGUCUGUAACUGACGCUGAGGCUCGAAAGCGUGGGGAGCAAACAGGAUUAGAUACCCUGGUAGUCCACGCCGUAAACGAUGAGUGCUAAGUGUUGGAGGGUUUCCGCCCUUCAGUGCUGCAGCAAACGCAUUAAGCACUCCGCCUGGGGAGUACGACCGCAAGGUUGAAACUCAAAGGAAUUGACGGGGGCCCGCACAAGCGGUGGA